AGCAACAGGGAUGUCGUCUGGAAACAAAAUCUGGUAUUGAAGCGCAGGGAGACAAAACGUCCACCUCUAGAGCCGAGGCGGCGGUUGCCUGUCGCGUGCCCGUGGUCUUCUGCCUGCCCCCGGGCAUCUCGGGCCACGUCCGGCCCGGCCUCCGGCCGCGCUGCCCUAGCGGGCGUCACGGGGCAUGAAGAGCCCUGGGCGGCUGCGAGGGGGGGGUACCGGGGCAGCGGGGCGGUCGCUCGGGGCUCCCGCGCGGUGACUCUUGCUCUGCCGUCGAAGAGAACGGCCCUCGGGCGGGUCGCGGCCGCGGCUCCAGAGCCCCUGGGCCUCGCGCUCUGAGAGCCUGAGCCGCUUGAGGAGGCCAAGCGCCCACGAACCGCAUUCCCUGCCUUGCUAGUUAGUUCUCCAACACGCGAAAAAGGUAGACGAGGACUGGUUUUCUUUGCAGCUAAAAUGAAUCCAGCCUCUGACUGCAGAAAGCGGGGACUUAGCUGAGAAAAUUAAUCGUGCACUCAUUCAGCAAAGGUUUCAGGGCCUGCUGUGUGGAGACACGGUUCCAAGCACUGCCGCAGUAGCAGGGAGGAAACAGAACGGACCUCAAACGCUGUCCCAGCAAGGACUCCAGUCUCUGCCUUGUGGAUGUGUAACUGGCGCGUGAUGUACCAGAAACUCCUGUGUGUGGUUGUAUCCGGUGCGUGACACAGUACUCUCUCCAGCUGCUCCUUGGAUUUGGGAAGCAGCCGAAGAUUUACGGGCCAUGGAGGCUCCUUCUAUCCCUGGAAAUCGGCCCUUGGGAAUUAAGCUGAGUUAUGUGGUUAAAGCCGUCAUGACAGCCAUCCCCUGGCUGGGCCAGUUCUGGGAAUAACUAUAAUGCUUAUACUACAGGAUGGCCAAUUCAGAACUUCUUACUAGUGCUGAAUUCAAUAAAGGUUUAAUAACACAUUUCUCAAAUCCUUAACAGUACUUUAGGACGUCUCAGCUAGAGAGGGCUUGCAAGGGAUAAUUUUUUUUAUUUUUUAUUUUUUUUGAGACAGAGUCUCGCUCUGUCGCCCAGGCUGGAGUGCAGUGGCGCCAUCUCGGCUCACUGCAACCUCCACCUCCCAUGUUCAAGCGAUUCUCCUGCCUCAGCCUCCUCAGUAGCUGGGAUUACAGGCACCCGCCACCAUGCCUGGCUAAUUUUCCUAUUUUUAGUAGAGACGGGGGUUUCACCAUGUUGGCCAGGUUGGUCUCAAACUCCUGACCUCGGGUGAUCCACCUGCCUCAGCCUCCCAAAGUGCUGGGAUUAUAGGUGUGAGCCAUGAGUCUCAUAUGACAAGUUCCCUUUUAAAAUGCAUAAAAUCACAGAUACCUUUGUCUGGAAAAAUAGUUUUUUUUUGUUUUUUGGGUUUUUUUUUUUUGAAAUAAGGUCUCUAUCACCUAGUCUGGGGUACAGUGGCAAAAUCAAGGCUCACUACAGCCUUGACCUCCCAGGCUAAAGCAAUCCUCCCACCUCAGCCUCCGGAGGAGCUGGGACUAGAGGUACAUGCCACCACCCCCAGCUAUUUUUUUUUUCUUUUUUUGUGCAGACAGGGUCUCACCAUGUUGCCCAGGCUGGUCUCAAACUCCUGGGCUCAAGCAAUCCUUCUGCCUUUGCCUCCCAAAUUCCUGGGUUAACAGGCAUGAGCCACUGCACCCAGCCAGAAGAUAUUAAUAACAUUUCCAGGAAAUUUAACAGAUAAUGUUUCAUAUGUUAAUGAGCAGCAGUUAUUGUGGGAGGCUGAGGUGGGAGGAUUGUUUGAGGCCAGAAGUUGAGACUAGCCCAGGCAACAUAGCAAGACCUCAACGCUACCAAAAUUAAAAACUUAGCUGGGUGUGAGGCUUGCCUGAGCCCAGGAGGCCAACGCUGCAGUGAGCCGUGAUCAUGCCACUGUCCUCCAGCCUGGGAAAAGAGCAAGACCCCAUCCUGGAAAAACAAAACAACACAGGGAGAGCAUAGGUGCUGUGUCAUAUGAAUUAAUACAUUUUGUUACUGAAACCCAGUUUUACUUUGCAACUUUAAAUUUUUUUCAGAAACAUUAAAGAAUAUAUUUUGUAUGAGUUAAAUAUAGAAA
Molecule: long non-coding RNA, 2090 nt
Organism: Pan troglodytes (chimpanzee)
Lineage: Eukaryota; Metazoa; Chordata; Mammalia; Primates; Hominidae
Exons: 2
Source: RefSeq, a predicted model, not a curated record